GACGAGGGAUCCUAGCGUUGUUCGGAAUCAUUGGGCGUAAAGCGGGUGCAGGUGGCUUGAUAAGUCAGGUGUGAAAUCCCAGGGCUCAACCCUGGACGUGCAUUUGAUACUGUCGAGCUUGAGUGUGGGAGAGGCUACUAGAAUGCUUAGUGUAGUGGUGAAAUACGUAGAUAUUAAGCGGAACACCGGUGGCGAAGGCGGGUAGCUGGCCCAACACUGACACUCAGACCCGAAAGCGUGGGGAUCAAACAGG
RNAcentral lists this ribosomal RNA (253 nucleotides) under uncultured bacterium. RNAcentral describes it as "partial 16S ribosomal RNA". It matches the Rfam family "Bacterial small subunit ribosomal RNA", at positions 524 to 776 of the family's 1533-position model. The record is from RNAcentral.